AAUAUCAGUCAUGCAUAGCAUAUCAAUAAGCGGAGGAAAAGAAACUAACAAGGAUUCCCUUAGUAACGGCGAGUGAAGCGGGAAGAGCUCAAAUUUGAAAUCUUCAAGGUUUUACCUUGACGAAUUGUAGUUUAAAGAAGUGUUUUCUGUUGAAGUUUUGGUAAAAGUUCUUUGGAAUAGGACAUCAUAGAGGGUGAGAAUCCCGUAUUUGACCAUUACUUUCAGCUUUGUGAUACACUUUCAAAGAGUCGGAUUGUUUGGGAAUGCAGUCCAAAAUGGGUGGUAAAUUUCAUCUAAAGCUAAAUAUUGGCGAGAGACCGAUAGCGAACAAGUACCGUGAGGGAAAGAUGAAAAGAACUUUGAAAAGAGAGUUAAACAGUACGUGAAAUUGUCAAAAGGGAAGCGUUUGACACCAGUGUUGUUUUCUCGAAAAUCAAUUAAAAAGAGUUGGAUUUUGUGUUGUAUUGACUUUAUCAGCUUUCUUCACUCUUUUCCAGCUUUUUUUAAUGCACUUUUCGUUUAACAAGUCAACAUCAGUUUCUUUUGUUGUAAAAAGGUCAUUGGAAGGUGGCUUUCUCUUCGGAGAAAGUGUUUAUAGCCUUUGACUCAUGCAAUCGGAGAGACUGAGGUCUGCAGCGUAGAUCCUUCGGGGUUAGAUACAUUUGUGCUAAGUUAUAGCUUUUCAUAGACAACUUGUUGACUAUGUUUAGUCUUGUAGCUUACUCGCUUAUGCUAUUUUACCUACGCUUAGGAUGUUGAACUCUAUCACACACAG
Molecule: ribosomal RNA, 775 nt
Filed under: uncultured Neocallimastigales
Lineage: Eukaryota; Fungi; Neocallimastigomycota; Neocallimastigomycetes; Neocallimastigales
Description: partial large subunit ribosomal RNA
Rfam family: Eukaryotic large subunit ribosomal RNA
Source: RNAcentral